Molecule: unclassified non-coding RNA, 240 nt
Filed under: Hevea brasiliensis (rubber tree)
Lineage: Eukaryota; Viridiplantae; Streptophyta; Magnoliopsida; Malpighiales; Euphorbiaceae
Source: RNAcentral
UGAUGAACUGCAUGGCUUCCCCUUCAGAUCGAGCUCAGACCCACAAUCUCAUUUUGCAAGGCCCAAGCUCCAUCUGAAGGGGAAGCCAUGCAGUUCAUCAGGCAAUCUGAACAGAACAUGAUCAUCAACACUUCCAACAGCAGUUAUUGAGGCCUUUGAACCACAACAUCCAUGCCCAAUUACAGCUUUGGCACAACAAAUCUUCAUGGGAUGUUUCAAUCCUCGAACGCAUGCGUACAG